This 253-nucleotide ribosomal RNA is filed under the name uncultured bacterium. RNAcentral describes it as "partial 16S ribosomal RNA". It matches the Rfam family "Bacterial small subunit ribosomal RNA", at positions 524 to 776 of the family's 1533-position model. The record is from RNAcentral.
UACAGAGGUCCCAAGCGUUGUUCGGAUUUACUGGGCGUAAAGGGUGCGUAGGCGGUUAGGUAAGUCUGUUGUGAAAUCUCCGGGCUCAACCCGGAAACUGCAGUGGAUACUAUCUAACUAGAGGAAUGGAGGGGAGACUGGAAUACUUGGUGUAGCAGUGAAAUGCGUAGAUAUCAAGUGGAACACCAGUGGCGAAGGCGAGUCUCUGGACAUUUCCUGACGCUGAGGCACGAAAGCCAGGGGAGCAAACGGG